GACGAACGCUGGCGGCGUGCUUAACACAUGCAAGUCGAGCGGAAAGGCUCCUUCGGGGGUACUCGAGCGGCGAACGGGUGAGUAACACGUGAGUAAUCUGCCCUUGGCUUCGGGAUAGCCACCGGAAACGGUGAUUAAUACCGGAUACGACAACUUCUCGCCUGGGAUGGUUGUGGAAAGUUUUUUCGGCCAGGGAUGUGCUCGCGGCCUAUCAGCUGGAUGGUGAGGUAAUGGCUCACCAUGGCUUCGACGGGUAGCCGGCCUGAGAGGGUGACCGGUCACACUGGGACUGAGACACGGCCCAGACUCCUACGGGAGGCAGCAGUGGGGAAUAUUGGACAAUGGGCGGAAGCCUGAUCCAGCAACGCCGCGUGAGGGAUGACGGCCUUCGGGUUGUAAACCUCUUUCGGUAGGGACGAAGCGCAAGUGACGGUACCUACUAAAGAAGCACCGGCCAACUACGUGCCAGCCGCCGCGGUAA
RNAcentral lists this ribosomal RNA (481 nucleotides) under uncultured bacterium. Its description in RNAcentral is "partial 16S ribosomal RNA". It matches the Rfam family "Bacterial small subunit ribosomal RNA", at positions 28 to 523 of the family's 1533-position model. The record is from RNAcentral.